Molecule: ribosomal RNA, 443 nt
Filed under: uncultured bacterium
Lineage: Bacteria
Description: SSU rRNA
Rfam family: Bacterial small subunit ribosomal RNA
Source: RNAcentral
AGAGCGAACGCUGGCGGCAGGCCUAACACAUGCAAGUCGAGCGCCCGUAGCAAUACGGGAGCGGCAGACGGGAUAGUAACACGUGGGAACGCGCCCUUCGGUUCGGAAUAACUCAGGGAAACUUGAGCUAAUACCGAAUACGCCCUUACGGGGAAAGAUUUAUUGCCGAAGGAACGGCCCGCGUCCGAUUAGCUAGUUGGUGAGGUAAUGGCUCACCAAGGCUACGAUCGGUAGCUGGUCUGAGAGGAUGACCAGCAUCACUGGGACUGAGACACGGCCCAGACUCCUACGGGAGGCAGCAGUGAGGAAUAUUGGACAAUGGGCGCAAGCCUGAUCCAGCCAUGCCGCGUGGAUGAUGAAGGCCUUAGGGUUGUAAAGUCUUUAACGGGAAGAUAAUGACGGUACCGUAGAAUAAGCCCGGCUAACUUCGUGCCAGCAGCCGC